Molecule: ribosomal RNA, 253 nt
Filed under: uncultured bacterium
Lineage: Bacteria
Description: partial 16S ribosomal RNA
Rfam family: Bacterial small subunit ribosomal RNA
Source: RNAcentral
UACGUAGGGGGCGAGCGUUGUCCGGAUUUAUUGGGCGUAAAGAGCGUGUAGGCGGUUCGGUAAGUCUGUCGUGAAAUCCUGAGGCUCAACCUCGGGCGUGCGAUGGAUACUGCCGGGCUAGAGGGUGGUAGAGGCGAGUGGAAUUCCCGGUGUAGCGGUGAAAUGCGCAGAUAUCAGGAGGAACACCAAUUGCGAAGGCAGCUCGCUGGGACGUUACUGACGCUGAGACGCGAAAGCGUGGGGAGCAAACAGG